RNAcentral lists this ribosomal RNA (403 nucleotides) under uncultured soil bacterium. Its description in RNAcentral is "bacterial SSU rRNA". It matches the Rfam family "Bacterial small subunit ribosomal RNA", at positions 26 to 436 of the family's 1533-position model. The record is from RNAcentral.
AGGACGAACGCUGGCGGCGUGCUUAACACAUGCAAGUCGAGCGGUAAGGCCUUUCGGGGUACACGAGCGGCGAACGGGUGAGUAACACGUGGGUGAUCUGCCCUGCACUUCGGGAUAAGCCUGGGAAACUGGGUCUAAUACCGGAUAUGACCUCCUAUCGCAUGGUGGGUGGUGGAAAGAUUUAUCGGUGCAGGAUGGGCCCGCGGCCUAUCAGCUUGUGUGGGUAAUGGCCUACAAGGCGACGACGGUAGCCGACCUGAGAGGGUGACCGGCCACACUGGGACUGAGACACGGCCCAGACUCCUACGGGAGGCAGCAGUCGGGGAAUAUGCACAAUGGGACGAAAGCCUAGGACUGCGAGCGACGCCGCGUGAGGAUGACGGCCUUCGGUUGUAACCUCUUC